GUAUUGCAUUUUGCUCUUUCACCCUCUCCAAGGUGCUAUGGUUACUAUAUUGAUUCUAUCAUACUUGUGUGGUCAUUGGCAGUACUGCAGGGAAAGCUAUUGCCCUCUUCUGGAUUUUUUGGUUAUUGCAUGGGGAUCUAUUGCCCUUUUCUUGGUGCUUUAGGCACAAUAAUACAUAUUCAUAGAUGUUCUGGGUAUUACAUGGGUGAUCCAUUGUUGUCUUCUUUGGGAACACAACAUCGUCCCACAGAUGCUUUGGGAACUGUGUGACAAUCUAUUGGUGAUUUUAUAACUGCAAAGAGAUCUGCUGACUUCUUCUUGGUAACUGCCGUGGAAUCUAUUGCCCUCUUCUGGAUGCUUUGUUUAAGCAAGGAAGUCUAUCGUCAUCUCCUGGAUCUAUUGCUCAUAUCUGGUACCAGGAGCUGGUGUCACAGGAGUGGUUUCAAUCCCAUGCUCGGACUCUCCCACCCUGAGCAGAGCCGCUCCUUGGGUCAGGAAGAUCUGCAUGGACAUCGCAGUACAGCUUCAUUCCCAAUUGCAGUCACCCGCCCACCCACCCAGAAUCUCUCACAGCCCUCAAAGCCUCUGCCACCUAAGGAGACCAGCAGUGAAACCUAGCUUCACUGCCGCUGCAACUGAGAUGGCACAGGCUCAAUUGCAUGCCCUUACAAGUGCAAAACUGGCCCCGCCCCCGCCCCCGCCCCCGCCUCGCCCCAGCUCACAGCGUUUGGCCUCCCCCUCCCUGCUCCAGCUCUCUGCCCCUCCCUGGGCCGCUUAGCCCUGCUGGGCUGCAGGUCCCUCAGCCACUGCCUCCACCGCCCCUGCCCAGGGCCCGAAGAGCAGGCAGUGGCUCUGUACUGGAUACUGCCACUGGAGGCUGCAACGCCCGGAGCCGGCUACUGCCCUGCUGGUUUACAAAACCGUUUCUUUUAAUGAAAUCCCGCCCAUUUUAACCUUGUAUAGUAGCCACUUUGAGAAGUUUCAGAUUACAUCGCAAUGUAU
Molecule: long non-coding RNA, 1002 nt
Filed under: Cricetulus griseus (Chinese hamster)
Lineage: Eukaryota; Metazoa; Chordata; Mammalia; Rodentia; Cricetidae
Description: lncRNA (ENSCGRG00015038545.1)
Source: RNAcentral